AGAUCUGCCUGGUGCAAGUGCUAGAGAGAACACAGAUGGAAGGGAGCUCACAGAUGGAAGCCUGCUGAUCACACAGCUGUUUCUUUGUUGGGACUUCCACUGGAGAACGUUCUUAACUCCUUGAACUAUUUAAACUGUCUCUGAAUACUGUUACCAGAAGUAACCCUGCUAACAGUGAAUCCAGCUUGCCUGAAAGAGCUACAUGUUCCUGUGAGGUCUCCCUGGCUAACUCACUGAUAAUUCCACGUAUGAAGGAAAGACAGAUAAAGGUAACUGGAUUUGGUGUAAGUAAUUGCAUUUCACUUUCUCCUCUGAGUCCCUCUCGAUCAGUUGGAUCCAAAUGGAGUAUAAACUCUUUGAAUUCAUUAGAAACUUCACGUGGUGGCCAUCUGUUACAGGUAGAGCAAUCAGCUCCCUCAGUCAUAUCAGUGGCACUGUGGUCCCCAGAACGGCAGCUUCGGUAUCAUCACCCAAGAACUUGGUGGGAAUUCAGAAUCUCUGGCCCUGUUUCAGACACAUUGAAUCGUAGACUCCUGGCCAUGUGUGUUGUAACAAACUCUCUGGUGAUUCCGACGCGCACUACGUUUAAGGGCUGCUGCAGUACCUUUCUGCUUCUCACAGCAUAAUGGGCAGAAGCACUAGCAUCACCAGAGGACUUGUGAAAAUGCCGAAUCUUGGACCCCAACUCAGACCAACUGAGGCAGGUUCUGCAUUUUUACAAAAUCCCCAGGAUAUUCAUAUGUACAGGAAAGUUUGAGAA
Long non-coding RNA from Ailuropoda melanoleuca (giant panda), 760 nucleotides. RefSeq lists it as uncharacterized. Lineage: Eukaryota; Metazoa; Chordata; Mammalia; Carnivora; Ursidae. The record is from RefSeq and is a predicted model, not a curated record. The transcript has 3 exons.